GGGCGUGUGGUCUAGUGGUAAAGACGUUAGCCGCUUAAGCUGAAGACCCGGGUUCGACUCCCGGCUCGGCCA
This 72-nucleotide transfer RNA is filed under the name Leguminivora glycinivorella. RNAcentral's name for it is "tRNA-Lys". It matches the Rfam family "tRNA". From Rfam's summary of the family: Transfer RNA (tRNA) molecules are approximately 80 nucleotides in length. Their secondary structure includes four short double-helical elements and three loops (D, anti-codon, and T loops). Further hydrogen bonds mediate the characteristic L-shaped molecular structure. tRNAs have two regions of fundamental functional importance: the anti-codon, which is responsible for specific mRNA codon recognition, and the 3' end, to which the tRNAs corresponding amino acid is attached (by aminoacyl-tRNA synthetases). tRNAs cope with the degeneracy of the genetic code in two manners: having more than one tRNA (with a specific anti-codon) for a particular amino acid; and 'wobble' base-pairing, i.e. permitting non-standard base-pairing at the 3rd anti-codon position. Lineage: Eukaryota; Metazoa; Arthropoda; Insecta; Lepidoptera; Tortricidae. The record is from RNAcentral.